AGUGAACGCUGGCGGUAGGCCUAACACAUGCAAGUCGAACGGCAGCACAGUAAGAGCUUGCUCUUACGGGUGGCGAGUGGCGGACGGGUGAGGAAUACAUCGGAAUCUACUUUUUCGUGGGGGAUAACGUAGGGAAACUUACGCUAAUACCGCAUACUACCUACGGGUGAAAGCAGGGGAUCUUCGGACCUUGCGCGAUUGAAUGAGCCGAUGUCGGAUUAGCUAGUUGGCGGGGUAAAGGCCCACCAAGGCGACGAUCCGUAGCUGGUCUGAGAGGAUGAUCAGCCACACUGGAACUGAGACACGGUCCAGACUCCUACGGGAGGCAGCAGUGGGGAAUAUUGGACAAUGGGCGCAAGCCUGAUCCAGACAUACCGCGUGGGUGAAGAAGGCCUUCGGGUUGUAAAGCCCUUUUGUUGGGAAAGAAAAGCAGCAGGUUAAUACCCCGCUGUUCUGACGGUACCCAAAGAAUAAGCACCGGCUAACUUCGUG
This 492-nucleotide ribosomal RNA is filed under the name uncultured bacterium. Its description in RNAcentral is "partial 16S ribosomal RNA". It matches the Rfam family "Bacterial small subunit ribosomal RNA", at positions 29 to 507 of the family's 1533-position model. The record is from RNAcentral.